AUUUACGGAUGUUGCGUACUUCCAGAUGAUAGAUUGGUAUUUACUUACUACUUUGCCAAACAAUUAAAAGUUUUCAGCAAUAAAGGAUCAAAAGACUUUGAGGUGAAGAUGCCGUGUUGUCCGUUUGAUAUAGUAUACAUUAGAGAAGACAAUACAUUGGCUGUAUCAUCUGAUAGUCCACGUACCAUUACCAUAAUAAACCUGGAGACAAAACAAAUAAUGAAAUCAAUUGCAUUGGAUUCUGAAUAUUUAUGGCAUAGCACUGAAAGAUAAUCAAUUGAUUUAUUCGGGUCAGAGACAAAGGAAUACGAAUGAUCGAUUUAAACGACGAGUCUAUAAGUGACAUAGUCCGAGAAGCAAUGGCCAGUUGUGUGCUACACUGCAACUUUUAGGGACAAUAUAUAUCAUACAAAACAAUAAAAACACUGUUACCUGUUAUAACCUACAAGGUAAAAUCAAUGGACAUUUCAUAACGAAAGCGUUCUAAGAGUCCUCGUGGUAUUGAUGUAGAUAAUGAUGGUAAUGUGUACGUGGUGGGAUACAAUCGAACAAUGUUGUAAUUAUCUCCCCUGAUGGACAACGGCAAAGAGAAAUAUUGACAGCCAGUGAUGGACUUAGUUGUCCUAUGUCACUUCAUUAUAGUGGAUCAAACGAAUCAGUUGCUAGUCGCGAACUACAACAAUAGCAAAGCUUUUUUGUUAAAUUGUACUUGAAGAAAAAAAUAACAGUGUGAAGUGCUGUCUCUUUGAAUCAUUAUAUGAAAUAAUUAUAGACAAUAGACAAUAUCUAUUUGCACAAUUAUAUUGACAUUAAAGGUUAAGGUAAUGCACUUAACACAUUAUAAAUUCCACAAUGAACUGUAUGUAACAACUAACCAUAGUUUCUUAUAAAAUAAUGGUGAUGUUUUAAGUAAAGUAUAUUAAAAAAUCCUUGUCAGGAUUAAAGCGAUUUAUUGUGUUGUAUGGAUAGGCAUGCAUUUACAAAGUUCGAAAUUAAUAAUUGAUUAUACAAAAAACCUAUGUUUUGGCUCACCUGGUCCGGACGGCCAUGUGAUCUUUUCUAAUCACUAUCGCCAGCAUCGUCUUUCCUUAUAAUUUACCGUCAGUAAGCUGGAUACCAUAACUCCACAAAACUACUUAAAAAGAACUAUAUUUUUUUUACGGAGAUAAUCCCGAAAAUUAAGAAACUAUCAUAGUAAACUUAUCGAUCCUUUAAAUAAACUUAUUCUUAUAGGUUAUCAAUUCGACACUGUUAUUAGAUUUUUUGAAUAUUGUCUUUAUAUAUACUAAUAUUGAUUUUUUGUCAGUUUAUCAAAAAACAAAACUACAUAUUAUUGUUAUAUACAUUUGCACUGUCAUGGAUCUACAAACUGUCGAUACCUGUAUCUUGGCAAUGCACCAGGUCGUAAUUUCUGCUGACCGUUUAUUGCGUCUUUACACUAAAUCCAUUGGAUAUUGGAUGUAUACUGAUUGAUGAUUAAGACUUAAUUACCUGAUUUUUUUAUUAGUAGUUUUUGGCUUUGAACUAGCUGUCAGUUACUGCAAGUACUCUCAAAUCGUACUUUCUUGUUAAUUUGACCAGUUGAUACUAUGUGUAAUGCUUCUUUGUUAUUUAAUAGAUAUAAGAAGAUGUGGUGUGAGUGUUAAUGUCCAUUUAUUCAGGUUUAUAUCUGGUCUAUAUACCAGCUUUGCUAAGUGUUUGGUAUUACUAUGAUUUUUCACUUCGAUCUUCAUACUAUGAACAUCAAAAAUAUUUAUUUGUAAAAUAUGUUUCCUUUCUCUUAUAAAAAUGUACUCUCAGAUCUGUGCUUAGUAUCUUUUUGUCGAACCGAUGUAUAAGAACCCGGCCACGUCCACUCUGUUUUUGUUAUAUAUAUUUCUAGUUACGUGUCCAUCUGAUGAAUUAAGCCUUUUAUAAAUGAUUUCUAUAGUUCGUUAUUGUGUUGUACUGUUCCACCAAUGUCACAGUUUAGGGGACGGUUGGGAUCCCGAUAACAUGUUUCAACCCACCUCAUGAUGAAUGUAUAUACCUGUUUCAAGUCAGGAGCCUGUACUUAAGUGGUUGUCGUUUGAUGCUGUGGUUUCCGCUAUUUUUUGUACAUCAAUAAGGCCGUUAGAUUUCGUCUUUACAUUCGUCAUUUCGGGGUCUUUUAUGGCUAACUAUACGAUAUGCUCAUAGUUGAAGGACGUAUGGGGACCUAAAGUUGUUAAUUGCUGUCUAAUUUGAUCUUUUGUGAAGUAGUGUCUUGUUGGUAACCAUACCACAUCUUCUUUUUUUUUAUAUAGCUUGAUCAUCAAGAUGUUAAAACUGAAUAUAUUUCUAAAGUGUUAACUAUUAUUUUCUUCUACAGUAAAAGAUGAUUUUUAGAAAAUAUUGAGAUGAUAUGUAUCUUCAAUCAGAAGCGUUGGUCAUAUGUGGAUUCUUAAAAAUUGUAUAGAUCUACUGCUAAAUCGUGGAUCACAAUGUCUGCAAUUUAGCAGCAACAUUAAGACCUUUUUGAUUUUUCUUCAUUUAACCCUUGCUAUUCCUUAUGCUCAAUUGAAAUAUUGACUUCACGAUCUCGAAAUCGAAAAAGAAAUAAAAAAGACCAGAAUGAAGAUCGACAGUCAUCUCGACAAACUACAAAAGGAAUGAAUGAAACAAUUGAAUGCGAUAGAAAAAAAAACUUUGAAAAUUUGUCAGUUAUUGUCAACAAUAAAUAUAAAGGAAAAUGAAAUAUCAGAAUGUCAGAGAAAAGUUAUGAACACGCAACGGACCUUCAAGUGCUCUUUCAAUGAAACAAAUAGAGGAGGACGUCUAUAGCAAACAUAAAGUCCUGCAGUCGCUUGAACAUGUUGAAGAAAGCAAGAGUUUCAAGCAAACUAUUCUUUCAUAUAAGACCCACGACUCUAUCCAAAAUAUCAUGUCCGAUAUCAAGUGUGUAUUGAAUCUAAAUUUUGCGAUAUUGUUCUGAAUAGCAAUAUAUUGUUGGAGUUGAACAUCAUUAGGGACGACAUCAAAAGUUCAAUGAAGGAUAAAAAACUUAAUUCACAUAGUUUUUUAACUGACCCCCCCCCCCCCCUCUUAACUUAAUUUGGGAAAAAUUGAUUGACCAAUAGGGAUAUAUGUAAAAUCGAUUUUGGAAUAACAAAACUUGCAGUAAUGUUGACCCCCCCCUAACCCCCAAACUAUUUGAUUUAAGUUUUUUAUCCUACAUCGAUCUUUUGAUGUCGUCCCUUAGUAUAUAAAGAGGUGGUGGCGAUGUAUACUAUUUGUGCACGUUUGUUCUCAGUUUUGAAGAAUGUUUCAUCUGAUGUUGAACAAAAUCUAGAAUAGAAUGUCAUGACACAUGAACUCUAUUUGUAUUCAACACGAAACAUUGGAAAUGAUUACAUUUGGCAUUUUCUCUAGUUUUUUUUAACCUCAUGAAUUUUAUAUUUCAAGUAACAAUACAUAUGUUGUCUGAUUAUAAUGGCUUGUAAAUCUUUAUGAUGAUGACCACGAAUGCCUGGUUAACGUCUAGCGUCCAUACAGUCUCAGGACGUAAACAUGUCAAUAAGAUAUGAAUAUAACUUCCGAUUUGUACAAGACCAACACGUUGAGCACAAGCAAGUUCAAAAUAUAAAAAAACCCACAGGAAGACAUGCAACCAUACCCGAACAAAUUAUUGGCAGAGAAGUGGAAAAUAACUAUUGUCAAGUCUGCUUUAACUAAGUCGGUUGUCGAACCCAAGACCUCCCGUACUUGAGGCAAGCUCGCUACCAUUUGAACAUCGAGGCGGUAACUAUAUAAUGAACCAUUCACAAAUUCAGUUAUGCUUAAUUUCUCGGUGAUCGUAUUUGCUAAUGACGGUAUCUCUCUAUCUCUUACACUUAACAGAAAAUAGCCCAAAACGCAAAAUAUCAUAUUUUUUUCAUAAUAAAAAAGACAGAAGAAGCUAUAGGUGUAUUUGUGUACUAAAUAAUAUGACACACAUUUAUGUUAUUCAAAACGGAGUGGGGCUGAAUGUCUUCCAGACAUAGCUAUAUUUAGUUACUAGUACCUACAAGACAGUGCAAAACAACCCCAUAUGUGAUUUCAUACCCUUCCGAAGGGUAAUGAGACCCUGUUCAACGUGUCGUAACGUAGUGAUACUAAAAAAGAAGUUGAUUCAUAAUCAUGGUACUGUUGCCUUACAUUGUCUUACAAUUAGAUCUUUUUUCCCACUUUAUCUGUUUACUAUUUCUCUCUAUCUCUUACACUAACUAGAAACAGUGAAGUGUUCAUGUUAAUAGUCCAUUUGCCAACUUCCGUUAUUGACCCUGUUUUAAGAGAUCCCUUUUUGAAUUUGUCUCCCUAACAGGGACAUUAAUUUUUAUUUACAAUGGAGAGCUAGCAGAAAAAGAAAAUUUACCUGUGCGUAAUGUGAGAAAUCUUUCAGGUUUUCAAAUCUUUUAUUUACAUUAAUUUGUUUUUCAGCUUAAUACUUUUGACAUCAGAAAUAAUUUUUUCAUGAAAAAUUAGUUAACCCGCCGUUACAUCACUUUCAAUUCAUCAUGUUUUGCAUUGGCAAUAGCCAAUUUUGUCCGGUAUAGAACCAGUCUACAAUUGACAAAGGGAGGUAAUUCGUUUAAAAUGUGUGUACUAACAGAUUGUACAUUUGUUUGUCUUAUUUUACUGCAUAUUCAAUACAUCUUACAGUUAUCUCUUUAUACCAUACGGUUUUCGCCUAAACACUAAAAUGUGUAAAGAUCGUUAAGGAAUGAAAAUAAUGACUUACUUGUUGUACUAACUAAAUAAAUGUUGCUGCUUACAGCAUAUAUGUUCUCUUUUUUAAGAUAACAAGCAAACAUACAAAAAUGGUAAAAACAUCUUUCAGAGCAAUGACUCAUAAGAGAAGUAAUUUGAUAAUUUUCGUCUUAAACGUUUUCUGUAGAUAGAUAUAGGAAAAUUUGGUAUAAGUGCCUAUGCGACAACUCUCCAUCCAAGUUAAAAUUUAUAAAAGUAAACCAUUAAAGGUCAAGGUACGGUAUCCAACACGGAGCCUUGACUCAUACCGAAUAGCAAUCUAUAAAGGGCCCCAAAAAAUUACUAGUGUAAAACCGUUCAAAUAGGAAAACCAACGGUCUAAUCUAUAUAAAAAAAACGAGAAACGAGGAACACUUAUAAAACCACUGAACGGCUCCUGAAUUGGGUCAGGCGCAAAAAAGUGCAGCGGGGUUGAACGUUUAAAUAGGUGCCAACCUUCACUCUAAACUAAAACAAUUGUGAAUCUUAGCAACAUGAAAAUACACACUAUAAGAACGAAUUGAUUUUAUCUAUGACACAAUGUAAAUACAAAAUGGUAACAAAAAUAGAUGGGGUAGAUGUAAAACAGUACCAGUUAGACAACCAUUAUCUCGGACAAAAUGCCGCAAAAUAUGAAAUAUACACAAGUAAUUUUGUUGAAAGGCACGAGAACAUAAGUGAAAAUUUAUCGGUAUACCAAACACUUAUGAAAUGCCAAUUUUGAAGUUGAAAAUACUGCAUUCAUCUCAGAAGGGAAUUUUUACCGGUGUUUUGUGUUUAAAGCUUAACCUUAAAUUAGAAAAUUUAAAUAACAUAUAUGCAUUAAAAAAAAUUCUUUAAAAUCUGUGCAUAUAAAAAAUUAAUUGCUGUGUAUUUGAAAAUGUCGGAAAUGACAUUCACCUGUUCAGCAGGAAAUGCUUCUGCGCUUCAUAUAUAAUAUAAUGAUCGCUUACUUUUGUGAGCUUAUGUAUGCAACCAUGAUGGCAAGGUUGUUUGUUAAUGGCCAGGUUGAGACAGAACUGAUGGCAUAGAUGUGCAUGAAAAAUUUGGAACGAUGGCAGAGUUUCAAAUAUGGCCUCGAUUUUAUCGGGUAACAAUCUUUUUUGUCAUCCCAUGUGGUAUUUAUAUAUUACCUGAUCAAAAUAGACGACCUUUGAAUUCGGGCAUUUUCAUGUGCAUUACAUUACAAAUAUCACACUGCUUAUGUUUUAAUGCACAAUAUUAUGCCGCAUUGUAUCAACAUGAAUAAAGGCUCCUGAAUAGCGAAGAAAGAUUUGAAUUAAAAAAAUGAGCAUUUAUUCAACUGCCAGUAUUGAAGGUAAUACCAAUUAUUAGGGCUGUAUGCGACAAACGUCAACUACUGACUGGAAACUCCUGGCAUGGAACACGCACAUUAAAAAUGUUGUGGUGUAAUAUUGAGUACGGCAAACUGGUAUGAUUGCCAACGAGACAACUGUCAAUCAUAGACCAUAUGGUAUGAUGUAAGCCUUUAACAAUGAACUUGCAAGUCAUCGGUUGACGUUUGUUACAACACCAUGCAAGUUAUUGUUCUUAAACUGAUUUGUUUAACACAUAUAGGUCAGUUGUUCUUUUAUUUCCAUAUUUACUAUUGGUCUUUAAUAAUGUUUAUUUGAUGCAGCAUAGUACCAUACAGUAUAGGGUUUUACUUAUCAUUUACAGCUAAACAGAGACCUACUGUUUAUACAUUUUUGAUCUUUGUUUCAAUUGUGGGUAGCAACUUUUCUGAAAUCAUACUACAUCUCUUUAUUUUUAUAUUGUAUGUAUAUUGUAAAAACGAAUAGCUACUGGUCAAUUUUCCAAAUCCGAUUUUUUUUUCUAUGGAUGAGUUACGCCAGUUGACGGAAUAUCAAUCGAAGUAAACAAGGUCAAUGAAAAAUCGACUCUUACUGUACAUAAUAUUACAAUCUUUGUGACAUACGAAAUGUACGGAAAUUGCAUGCCCAAUUGUCAUCGUCGUUAUAUUGAUCAAUUAAGAUACGUUGUUGCUUAAAACAGAGAAUAUUGAAAAUGUGAGGUUCUGUUUUGUUUUAUUGCGAGUACAAAUGGACAUAAUAUUUAAAAUCAAUGAUAUAACAACGUCGUUUUCGUCUCAUCAGAUUAUAAAAACAGUCACGUGAUUAAUAAGCUCAAACACAUCAAACGAAUGGAUAGCAACUGCCAUAUUCCUGACUCGGCACAGGCAAUUAUUCCUUUAGAAAAUGGUGGAUUUAGAUCUGGUUUUAUGGACAACGAUAUGUGAACGAAAAAAAAGACAUCAUAGAAUAAAAAGAUAAAAAUUUUAAAAUUGGGGGACAACAGUCAAUAGUGUGAUAUACUUUUAAUCAGUUAAAAAGAAAACAAAAACAAAAUAAAGUAUGUAACAAAGAAACACAAGAAGGCAUAUAGACAAAACAAACAAACAAAAAUGAACCGCAACUCUCUAUCUUUAAUGUAUACACAUAUAACAAGUCAAAAUAACUAAUUGAGGUUUGAUUAAUUUCCCUUCUCCUUUUAACAUAAACAAAACAGGAAAUCUAACUUGAUUUUUUAUAUCAAUUGUUUUAUCAUGUUUUCAACGUCUACUUUACCAAGAUUAUUUGACAAUUGAUUUAUUGUAAACCAUAACUCUCUAUCUUUAUUGUGUACAAAUAUUACAAGUCAUAAAAACUAUCACAGGUUUGGAUUUAUUCUCCGUCUUAUUAAAAGAUAAACAAAAAAGAACAUUUUAUUUGAUUCUAGUUUGAAAUGCUUUAUUACGUCUUUCAACGUCUACUUUACCAAGAUUAUAGUACAUUUAUUUAUGAUGAACCGUAACUCUCUAUCUUUAUUAUGUACAAAUAAGAAAGAAAUACAAACAGGAAAAACUAAUACAGAUUUGAACUUAUUUCUUUCUCGUUUAACGAACAUCUGGGAACUUGAUUUAAUGCAUAAAAUGUUAUACAAUUUUUUAUUUGUCUCCUUUACCAAGAUUUUGGUUUUUGAAUAUCAUAGUCCUGCUAAAUUAUAAUUUGACAUGCAAUUACGUUUAUAAUUGUAACAAAAUAUAACUAAUCUUUUCAAUCGAUCAAUGGAAAUCAAUGGCUCAUCAAUCAAAUCAAAAUUAAUUAUCUUUACCUCAUACGAUAAAUAACAGUGUAAAACAGUCGUCGUCUUUUAAACCAUAAGAUGAUGAACUUUAUAUUUUAAGCAAAUCGAAAUGAGUUUCUUACCUAUGUUCCAAUUUGCCACUAUAUUUCCUAUUAGGCUAAAAUAGCCAUCCAAUUUAACAAUUUUAAUAUUUGACACUCGAUCAGAUGGAAAACAAGUUACAACGAAUACAAUUUAUUUUGAUUUUUGGCAAUUAGAUAGCCGCUUAAUGAGAUCAGUAAGAACAAUAUCCAUUUUAGAAACUGUGAAAGAGGUGGUUCAAAAAAUUGUUUGUAUAAAACAGGCGACAAAUAUCAGUGUGUGCACUUUUGUUUUCAGUUUAGAAAAUGUAACAUUGAAUAAUUUAUCUAAUGUUGAACAAAAUCUAGAAUAAAGUGUCGUGACACAUGAAAACUAUUUGUAUUCAAGACGAAAUGUUGGAAAUGCUAGUUAAAUUUAACAUUUCCCCCUGUUUCCUAACCUAAUGAAUUUGUUAUUUCAAGUAACUAUUCAUAUGUUGUCUGAUUAUGGCUGGUAAAUCCUAAUGAUGAUGACUACGAAUGACUGGUUAACGUCCAGCGGCAGGUUAAAUUCUUACUCCGGACAAACAUGUUAAUGUCAUAUGAAUAAUACCCCCGAUUUCUACAAGACCAACACGCUGAGCACGAUUUCAAGCGUGCUAGUACACAAUGUAAAAAACCCACAGGAAGACAUGCCACAAUAUCCGAACAAAUUAUUCUAAAUGAAACAACAAGGUCGCGUGCUUAGUUUGGCAGAGAAGUGGAAAAUAACUAUUGUCAAGUCUGCUUUAACUAGGUCGGAUGUCGAACCCUAGACCUCCCGUACUUGAUUCAAGCUCGCUACCAUUAGAACAUCGAGGAAAUAACGUAUAUAAUGGACCGAUUCAUAAAUUCAGUUAUGUUUAACUUCUUGGUGAUCGUAUUUGCUGUUGAUGGUAUCUCCCUAUCUCUUAUACUUUUUAAGAUAUAAGCAAAAAUUUUAAGAAUAUUGAUAUUAUCUGUUCAUAGAAAGGGACAAAUGUAUUUUUGUAGAAAAUAUAUAAUGGAGUAUGUACUUUUGUUAUUCAAAAUAUAUAACAAGGGUAUGGUACUGUGUGUCUACACUACAUAGAUACCUGAAGACUUGGCAAAACAACAUCACGUGUAAUUGCAUGUGCUGAAGAAAGAUAAUCAGAUCCUGUUCAACGUGUGGUAACCCAGCGACAACUCCUAUAAGAAGUUGUUUACAAUGUUUCUAAUGCUAUGUUAUAACUAGAUAUUUUUUAUUCACCUUUUCUGUUUCCAAUUAACUCUAUAUACAUGUGUAUUCCACUGACUAGAACAUUAAAGUUUUCAUGAUACUUGCAUAUGAAUCAAAAUGUGUGAACCUUGUCAUUUAAAGGUAAUAACUCCUUGAAAGAGUCAAUUGUCGACUUUAGUCAGAAGGCUUUAUUGUAGAUUUUAUUUUACUGCAUCCAUUUUGCAGCUUACAGUUUCUUGCUAUCUGCCAUAUAAUUGUUGCCAAAUACAAAAAUGUGUAAAAUCGUUAUUGAAGUAUAUAAACGACUUACUUCUUAACCUAGCUUUAAUGAUAAGUUUUGCUGCCUAAAGUUUCUCUCUCUAUAUAUUAUAGUUUUAUAGAAGAGGGACGAAAGAUACCAAAGGGACAGUCAAACUCAUAAAUCUAAAACAAACUGAAAACGCCAUGGCUAAAAAUGAAAAAAGACAAACAGAAAAACAAUAGUACACAUGACACAACAUAGAAAACUAAAGAAUAAACAACACGAACCCCACCAAAAACUAGGUAUCUCAGUCUCGAAUAAGCAUCCUGCUCCACAUGUGGCACCCGUCGUGUUGCUUAUGUGAUUACAAAUCCGGUAAAUAGUCUAAUUCGGUAGGUCACAAUCAUGAAAGAUAGCAAAAAUAAAUAUAGGUUUGCUUUUUAGUUUUUGCGUUAGUUCGUUUUUGGUUAAAAUCAAAAUAUAAGGACAACAACUUCGAAACGUAAGAAAAUGGAUAAUAAUUUCAUUUAUUUCCUUAUAGAUCCUGUCUGGGUUGAUAAUUUUUGCAGUUUAAAUAAGAUGACUAAUACUAUUUGUUAUUGUAGUGUAAAUUGAACUACAUUUGUUGUUAUUCCCAAGAUUAUAGCUAAACAUUGGUAAAAAUAUUGAUUUAAGGUCGAUAUCUCCUACAAUAUGUACAAGUAAUCGACUGGCUAUUUAGUUUUUUUAGUCGAAGUUGAUGAGACAAAUGAUCAACUGCAAUUUUGUUGACUAUUUUAAUAUUUUUGUUUUCUUUAUGCAAAUUGGAUUCUGCUUGCUAAAAGGAGUAGGUUCAGUAAGACCCCUUUUUGGCCCCAAAAUAUAGCAGUUUUACAAAGUUGUUGAAAUGUAAACUUUUAGUUAUUUAUUGGACAGUAGAAUGCUUCUGCUACAUGAAUAUGGGCUGUUUUUGACAUAACAAUGCACAUAUAUCGGGUACUAGCACCAUAAAGUCAUGCUUAUUUACUGAAAUCUUCACAAUUCUAGCAUUUUAGUUAAAUUUUGGACAGUUUUCAGGUCAAACGAAAGUGGCCGCAUUCGUGUUCAUCCUUAAUAUUGAAAUGUAAGUUGUAGUUUAUGAUAAUACAUAAUAUAUAUAAAGGUUGAGGAUGAACACGGAUGCGGCCACUUUCGUUUUUGACAAAAACCAUCUGAAAAGUGACAUUUUUCGGCAUAUUUGGUAAAUUUUUCAUAUUUGAGCUUGAAUCGGAGCGUUUUUAAUGACUAAAUCAGUAAAAAUCUUUCACAUAAACUAAUUGAUUCAAAUGAAAUAGACACUUAAGUGUUUAAAAAGUGGUCAAAAUCUUUCGUCAAAUGAACCUGAAAUUUGAGGCCAAAAUCGGUCCUUACCGGACCUACUCCUUUCUCUUCUGUUCACUUCGUGAUGUUUUUUAAUUGUUGACAAUUAGUUAACAGAUAAAGGAAACAGUAGUAUACCGCUGUUCGAAAGUCAUUAAUUGAGAAAACAAAUCCGGGUUACAAUCUAAAAUUGAGGAACACAUCAACUAUAAGAGGAAAACAACGAAACAACAGAAACACUGAAGUGCAACAAAAAGCAAACGACAAGGCAAAACACACAGAAAUACACAAUGAGAUAACAACUGCCAUUUUUCUGACUUGGUACAGGACAUUUUAAGACAAAAUGGUGGAUUGAAUCUGGUUUUGUGGCUAGCCAAACCUCGCGUUUUAUGGCAAUUUUAGAUAUAACACUAAAAUGACAAAAUUACAUGACAGAAAUACAGUACAAAUAAAUGCAAGAACAUUAAGGACAAAGAAGUACACAAAUGGACAAUUAAAUAAUACAUUUCGAUAUGCUGACAACAGAAUAAAAACAAACACGUAAAACAACCUAGGACAGCACACAUAAACAGCUCAACAGAACCAUGAACUGGUCGUUAAAAAGUGACGUCACAGGUAAAUUUGUAAAAAAUUGAUAUAAAACAAGAUUAUGUUUGUAAUUAUGUUAUUUGAUGUAUUUUAUAACAAUUACAAAUCUAUUAAUAUAGAAUUGUGUUAGUUAUUAUAUAAUUAAUUUUAUUAUCUAGCUAUGUCGGCAUUUCUUCUAAAUAAAACUGUAACACAAAUAAAUCGUGUACAUAUAGUUGCUUUAAUUUAAAAUCAUAUACAUCAAUUGGGUAAAUAAUUAUCUUAACUUUUACAUACUAAUACAAAAUCUAAAAAAUAGAAUCACAACUAUCAACUAUACUUGCUUGUAGAUCUUUUCAAGCUAUUACAUUUUUCUAUUAUUUUUUUCUAAUUUUUCUUCCUAAACUCUAUUUAUCAAGAUAAUAACAAAACAACACUGUUCACAUGGUAAGAAUGAAAUAUCUUAGUGGCAUUAACACCCAAAUUGAAUUGUAUGAUACAUAAGUCAAAUUUCACGGUGAUAAAACCUGUCAGAUUUAAUCACUUUAAAUAGCGUUAAAAAAGGUAACGUGUGUUUUGCCAGUAAAACUUAUAAUUUGCCGUCUCUUAAAAAAUAAAUAAACAGAUGUUUUAUUUUACAAAACUCGAAAGAAAGUAAAACAAAUUCUAUAAUAGGUAGGUAUAUUUCUUAAUACACACCUAUCGUUAGUGUGUAGAUAAUAUUUAAUCAGUUUCGAAAACAGUCAUGUGAUUGAUAACCUACCUAGUAAACCAGACGGUAGUGUAUCUAGUUCAAAUCGAAAGGUAAUUUUAAGAUUUUUAUUGAUAUUUAUAAUAUCAUUUCUUUUUUAGUUACGUCAAUCUCCAUGAUAAGUAUGACCUAAAUACAUGAAUUUAGUAUUUUUUUCAUUAUUUCAACUUUCAUUCUGAGCUUGGACAUUACACAUAUGAUGAGUAUCGUUGGUAGGGCAAUGGGUUGUUGUCGAGCCUGUGACUUUUUUUCGCAGAAAGCUCGACAUAGAAAUAGGAAUAGUGAUCCGGCUUAAAAGCUUUAUAUUUUAGAAGGUGGAAGACAUGGAUGCUUCAUACUUUGUAUAUAGAUGUCUCAUAUUACGAAGUUUCCGUCUGUCAGAUGUCCAUUGACCUUGACAUAAUUUUAAUGGUUCGGUGACUACUUGUAUUUAAGAUUUUUUCUAAUAUUAAAUUCUUUCUUAUUAUGUGUAAUAACAUAACUAUAUUUGGUAUGUGCGUACCUUGCAAGGUCUGCAUGCCCGUCAGACAGUUUUCACCACACCUCGACCUGAUAAAAUGGAUCAGUGUACAAGGUUAAAGACCAAACAGCCUAUUCAUUUCUAUCAGUGAUUUUUCCUUCAAAUUUUGUGUGAAGGUGUUGCAUGAUUUGAGGAAUAAAAUAUGAUGAAAAAAAUUGGGGGUCACCGACUUAGUUUUGUCACUAUAGCAACCUCAGUUUCGCGUUUUCCCGAAUAUUAACAUAAUAUUUGCUUGUUAUCUAAACCUCAAAAAACAUGCUUUAUAUCAAACCUAGAAGCAUAAUUCUUGUUUCACGUUAAACAGUAGAUUAAUAUAUUUCAAAUACAGGAUCAAGAGUGUAAGACUCAUAUUGAUUUGAUCUUUAAAAAUGUGAUUUAAUUCAUUCCCGCCAAAAAUUAUGCGUAAAACUGAAAAACGUUUCCAGUAUUAAAAAAUAUCUACCAGUGAUUUCUUCAUAAAAAUUUAAAGAAGAAAAGUGCCAUAUGUACUCUUCAAAAUAAAGGAAAAAAAAGUGUAUGUCACCGACCUUUCAAAAAAGUUAUGAGUAAUUUUUAUGUUCUUUUCUCGUUCGUUUUGAUGAAAAGAGUUGUCUUUCUUCAGUACAUUGCAUCUGACGUCAUAGUAUACGAACUUUCCUUGCUGGCGCACUAUUUGAAAAAAGAAAUCGUAAAUUGGACACCGUUUGAAACCCACAUUUAAAUUUCCAAGAAUAACAACUAUAUUCACCUACUUUAUUAUCCGGUAAUACUAGAGAUUAAGCAUGUAUCAGUUUCAGAUCUUUAUGAUGUUGUUGCCGCACAAUAUAAACCUUCAGAAACACCAUCCGUCGGAAAGGAAAAUUGUUUGAAAUAACCUUUCACGCCACUUGUAUAUUGAAAGUCUGUUUUUGUCCUCUGUCCCACAUAAGCAAAAUUAUUGAAAAUAAAAAAAAAGAAAUAAAAGAUGGCACUGGUUAACUUACAGAGUUUGCCGUAACAAACUUAUUCGGUACUGUUGAGAGACGGACAUACAAAAGCAUGGACGGAGUUCUUUAUACCAUUAUUUUUCCCGACUAAGACGAACGUUCAGCAAUUAUUGCAUCGAGUUUGUGAAUUCAUUAUUUUGAAUAUUUUUAAGAUUUUAGGAAAUUAAAAUUAUAGGUAUAAUAUAUGAAUUAAAGUUUUGAUUCUAAAACGUUAUACAUCUAUCUUAAAAUACAAUCCUUUUAUUACUACCUAAUGUGUUUUCAAUAAACGAGACAGUAAAUAUAAAAUACAAAAAGUUUUGGAUUCAAAAAUUAAUAUUUAGAAAUAAUUUUCCGUUGGAAACUACAAAGUAAGAUUUCUCCAACAGGAUAAAAUAAAUAAUCUAAAUUGCUCAUUUUGGAAAUUAAAACAAAGAAAAGGUUGUUGCCGGCAUUGAAAAUCGAAAUUUGUUUUCAAUCUUUCCAGUCACAGUUGUAGCUAAAUGAAAGGGAGCGAUUUUAUGUAAGAUAUUAUUUUUGGAGCAAUUGUUUUUGUCAUAUUAAAUUAAAUUUACAACAAUUUAGUUUUAAAGACCAAACAUUUUGAUUUUAAUUCACAUUCGCUGAGUAUUAGUUUUAUUAAUAUUUUUGCCCUACAGCUAAUUUCCUAAUGCAUGUAGGGUAAAACUUUGGUGGGCUUCCUUGCUUUGUUUGUAUUAAUGUUUACUCAAGCUCUGUAAUUAAGAUUAACAUCUUUAUAUAUAGGUAUGCAAACCUGUAUAUAUGCUAUUUAAUUGAAUUGGACGUUAUCAAAAUAUAAUUAUACAAAAUAUACAAACAAAGCAAGCAGGCAAACCAAAGUCGUCAUUUAUUUUUACGAUAAGAUUUUGUCAAAUAAGCAGUAUAAAUAAAUUUUAACUUCAUUGCAAGAUCGGACAUUAUUUUACGAGAAUCAUCCAGACAUCAGGUACAUGUACAUGUUGCCAGUAUGUCAAAACUUUUCGGAAUAAUUGAUUAUCGGCCUAACCUUGUGAAUAAUCAUUUUUUUAUUGAUUUUUUUAAAUUGACACUCAAAUUAGAAGGAUCAUUGCAUAAUGAACAUGUAUACUAAGUUUUAAGUUGACUUCAACUUCGUCAAAAACUACCUUGACCAAAAACUGUAACCAAAAACUUUAACCUGAAGCGGGACAGACGAACGAACGGACACACUGACCAGAAAACAUAAUGCCCAUAAAUCGGGCAUAAAAUUAACUUUCACCUAACCUGUACACUAUCGGCGCAAACGAAAGACAAAAUCUACGCAAGUGAGAAGAAAAAAAUGAAAUGCAGAUCGACGCAAAUAUAAGACAAAAUCUACGCAUGUGAAAGAAUAAAAAAAAAUGAAAUGUAGAAAGGCACAAAUGUAAAAAGUCGAGAUCAAAAUUUAUAUUUUAUUAUUUUUAUUAGAGCGAAGGUUAAAUAUAGUGUAGUAUCUUAUGUGUCCAUUUGUGUUAAAUUUCCACAGGAUUUUAAAGUAGCGCGACACAUAAUAGUUCCUAUUUUCUUGGGAGACGUAACGUACCUACAUAGCGUACACCAUGUUGGAAUCCGUGAAAAACGCGAAAAUAGGACGUUAUAAUUUGACGUUUUUUCAUUGCUAGAAGCAACGUCAUAGAGCUUUUAUGUCACUAACAAGAUGCGUUAGCUGAUGCGCAUAAACAAUAGGCUGUUUGGUCUUUAAGUUUUGGUGGUUAAGUCCAUUUCUCAGAUACUAUAAGCAAUAGGUCUAGUAUAUUCGGUGUAUGGAAGGACUGUAAAGUGUACAUGUCAAAUUGGCAGGUGUCAUCUGACCUUGACCUCAUUCACAUUGUUGAGUGGUCAAAGUUAAGUUUUUGAGUUUUGGUCUUUUUUAAUUCUAUAUGCAGUUUGUCAACUAUAUUUGGUGUAUGGAAAUAUUUUAUAAUGAACAUGUUAGUCUAGCCGGUUUUAUUUGACAUUGCUCAGUGUUAAGUUUUUGUGUUUUGCUCUGUUUUUCUGAAAUUAUAAGCAAUAGAUCAACUCUAUUUGUUGUAUGGAAGAAUUGUAAGCUGUACAUGUCCGACUGACAUGUGUCAUCUGACCUUGACCUCAUUUCAUGAUUCGUUGGUCAAUGUUUAGUGUUCUUGGUUAAGUCUGUUUCUUAGAAACUGUAAGCAAUCGGUCAACCAUAUUCUGUGUAUUUAAUGAUUGUUUUUUGUCCAUGGAUUUAUGAGUUUUGAACAGCGGUAUACUACUGUUGCCUUUAUUAACCAUUUGACCAAGGAAGAUAAUUAAAAACUGGUGCACGUUUAAUGACUUUAUGCAAAGGGAUCAUUGGACAAAACACAAAAAAAACCCACCAUCAUAACGUAAGAAAGAAGUUCAAAUCACGUAAGAAGAACUAUUCAACAUUUCCUUUUUUGUGAAACAAAAAUUAAUUAUAAACUGUUUUAACAUAACUGGCUACAAAAUAAUGUCAAGAACUGUAACUCUCUAUCUUUAUUGUCUACAAAUAGAACAAGUUGUUUUAUCUAAUACAGGUUUCAUGUUAUCCUCGUAAAAAAUAAACAUAAAUCAAACUUAUUUGAAGCAUAACAUGUUUUAAUAAUUCAUGUAUUAGUCUACUUUACCAAGUUUAUUUUUGAAUACCGUAGUCCUGAUACAUUGUAAUGUGACAUGCUAUUAAAUUUGGUGGUGAACUACGUUGAUAAGUAUAUCUAUUUGUCUGAUUAAUUAACAAUAAAUAUAUUAACGAUAUUGCAAUUAAGAAAUAAUUGAGGCAAGCUAUACUUUAUUGUAGUUUUAACAUGGGUAGGCAUUAUAUUCGUGACGGAGCUCUUCCAUGAGUCGGUCUUUUUUGUUUGUAAACAAGCAAACGACAUGCAAUGUGAUCUUUCAUAGAGAGGAGUUUUGAACAACCAGCAUACACGGUUUUUGUAUCUAGGUCAAAUAUGUCAAUUUCGAAUUGCAAUACAUUACAGUGAUAAUAAAUGAAUAAUUAACAACAUGUGCAUCAUGUACAUUUAAGAGUGUGGAAGUGUUUUAAGCUAACGAAAUAUAUCAAAUGCAUGCCAAUUUGAUAAAAUUCAUUAUUCUGCAGUAGUCAAUUUACGCUAGUGCAAACAAAUUUUAUUGGAUUUAGAGCAUGGGUUUAUUCACAAAGCGAAAGAAGCACGUCAUGUUAGAAAAUCAAAUUUUUGACAUGUUUGAACCCUAUGAUAAUGAACCUUAUAUUUGAAGUUAUUCGAACUGAUUUUUUUUUAAUUUAUGUUACAAUUCUCCACUAUCUUUUAAAAAGAUUAAAAUGAUCGUUGUUAUCAGUUUACAUUUUUGUAGCCUGAUCGGACGUAACACUAGCUGCAACGAAUAAAAUGUAUUUUGAAUAUUUUUCAAUUAAGGUGGUAUGGGUGUCUUCCGCCAUCUUGGAUUGUUAAAAAACAGAAAAAACCUUUUGGUCUAGGUUUUCUAUCAAGUUAGCAAAAUUUGAUACAGGAAUGCAGAUAAUUAAUGUGAAUUUUAAUUUAAAAGAACCAAUUCAAAAGAAUAUUACUUAUAAAUAUUAAUAUUUUUACAAGUGUAGAUUAUUUUUCGUUGUUUUAAAAUAUUUUUAAAUUGGCAUUUUAUGGGGAGGUAACUCUAAAACAGUGCAUUUUCUGACGCAAUCUACAUGGAAUUUUCCUAUUUUGUAUUUUAGCCGGAAAAAAACGUAUGGUGUCCCUAUCUUUUCUUUUGAUAUUCUCAAAGCAUUGUCUGAUUAGUUAUCAAAGGUACCAGGAUUAUAACUUUUGACGCCAGACGCACGUUUCGUCUAUAAAGACUCAUGUCUCAUCUGAAAGCUGUCUUUUGAUAAUUUAUUUUACAAUUCUAUCAUUUCGUUUAGUUUCUAAUCACAAAAUGGUUUUUUUUCCUGUAUAAUUCAUACAAACUGUGUCAUUUUGUCACAACCUGUAGCUUGAAAAAAAGGGCGGUGACCUAUCAUUUUUAUUAUCUUUUUGAACAUAUAUCACUAGAUACUACGUUUUGGCAAAGUAUGAACAAAUUCUAUUAUUUUUAUUUUAGAUCCCCAUACCACCUUGAAAACCAAGUCAUGUGGAAAUGAGAUCAAUGAGAAUUAUUUCCUAUUUUAGAAUAUAUACUUUGAAUGAUAAAACCAUCGAAAUCACAGCUAUUGCUAUUACUAAUCAUUAUUAUUGAUCCUUACUUUGUAGUGUGUUAAUGGCUGCAGCCUUACAAAAUUGUGGUGUCUGUGACCUCCGUCACAUCACUAAACCAUCUAUAGUCUGGUGUACAGAAUGUGACGAGGGACUAUGUACAGAAUGUCAGGAUCAUCAUAGUUUGUCUAAGGCAUCGCGAAGCCACAGUGUGAUACUUUUUGCCGCAUACCAGAAACUACCUGCUGAUGUACUGAAAAUUACUCAGUAUUGUACCAGUCACGAUAAAAAGUACCAGUUCUAUUGCCAGAAGCAUGAAUGUCCCUGCUGCAGCACAUGUAUCGUGGAAAGCCACAAAGACUGCCGGGACAUUGUCGAAUUAGAUGAUAUCAUGUCUAACGCCAAAACCUCCUAUGCCCUGAGCGAGAUAGAGGAAACAUUAGUUGAAGUAGCAGAAAAUCUAAAGACAAUUCGUCAGCAUCAACAGAGCAAUCAGGUGACUUUGAAAGAAAAGAGAAAGGAAAUCCAAAAAGAAGUAAAGAAAACUAGAAUGAAGAUCAAUAACCACCUCGACAAACUACAAGAAGAUUUAAUGAAACAACUCAACGAGCUCGAAGAAAAAGAAAACUCUAAAAUAUGUCAGUUAAUGUCCUCGCUAAAAAAGAAAGAAAAGAAAUAGGAGAAUGCCAAAAUAGCCUAUUGAACAUCAAGAAACACGCAACAGAUCUUCAAAUGUUUCUCUCAAUUAAGCAAAUAGAAGAGGACGUCUAUAGCAAAGAAAAAGAAUUGCAGGCUCUUGUAGAAAGGCAAGGAACAGCAUACUCUUUCAUAUCAGAUCAACACCUCUAUCCAGAAUAUCAUAUCCGAUAUCAGAAGUUUUGGGGAAGUGCGUAUUGAAUCUAAUCCAUGCGACAUAGUUCUGAUCAAGAAGAAGGCCAGACAAGCCCAAUUGAUGAUUCCAAUCGUUCCAACAAAAUCUAUAGAAAAUAUAAAGCUAACGAUACACAAGUCCAUCGACACUCAAGGAAGUGCUACGUUCACGGAUGUUGCAUACUUCCAGAUGAUAGAUUGGUAUUUACUUACUACUUUGCCAAACAAUUAAAAGUUUUCAGUGAUAAAGGAUCAACAGACUUUGAGAUCAAGAUGCCGAGUUACGCGUUUGAUAUAGUAUACAUUAGAGAAGACAAUACAUUGGCUGUAUCAUCUAUAUAGUCCACGUACCAUUACCAUAAUAAACCUGGAGACAAAACAAAUGAUGAAAUCAAUUGCAGUGGAUUCGGACAUUUAUGGCAUAUCACUGAAAGAAAAUCAGUUGAUUUAUUCAGGGAGAGACAAAGGUAUACGAAUGAUCGAUUUAAACGAUGAGUCUAUAAGUGACUUAGUCCGAGAAGCAAUGACCAGUGUUUGCUACACUGCAACUUUUAGGGACAAUAUAUAUCAUACAAACAAUCAAAAAAACACUGUGACAUGUUAUAACCUACAAGGUAAACUACAAUGGACAUUCCAUAACGAAAGCGUUCUUAAUACUCCUCAUGGCAUUGAUGUAGAUAAUGAUGGUAAUGUGUUCGUGGUGGGGCACAUAUCGAACAACGUUGUAGUUAUCUCCUCUGAUGGAAAAAGACAUAGAGAACUAUUGACCGUAAGUGAUGGUCUUGAUUUUCCUAUGACACUUCAUUAUAGUGGAACAACGAAUCAGUUGCUUGUCGCGAAC
RNAcentral lists this long non-coding RNA (19352 nucleotides) under Mytilus galloprovincialis (Mediterranean mussel). The record is from RNAcentral. Lineage: Eukaryota; Metazoa; Mollusca; Bivalvia; Mytilida; Mytilidae.